ACCCCGGUGGCGCAAUGGUUAGCGCGUCGUACUUAUAAUGCGAAGGUUGCGGGUUCGAAUCCCGUUCGGGGUA
Octopus sinensis (East Asian common octopus) is the source of this 73-nucleotide non-coding RNA. Lineage: Eukaryota; Metazoa; Mollusca; Cephalopoda; Octopoda; Octopodidae. The record is from the annotation of a RefSeq genome assembly.